This 500-nucleotide ribosomal RNA is filed under the name uncultured bacterium. RNAcentral's name for it is "partial 16S ribosomal RNA". It matches the Rfam family "Bacterial small subunit ribosomal RNA", at positions 30 to 523 of the family's 1533-position model. The record is from RNAcentral.
AUUGAACGCUGGCGGCAGGCCUAACACAUGCAAGUCGAGCGGAUGACGGGAGCUUGCUCCUUGAUUCAGCGGCGGACGGGUGAGUAAUGCCUAGGAAUCUGCCUGGUAGUGGGGGACAACGUUUCGAAAGGAACGCUAAUACCGCAUACGUCCUACGGGAGAAAGCAGGGGACCUUCGGGCCUUGCGCUAUCAGAUGAGCCUAGGUCGGAUUAGCUAGUUGGUGGGGUAAUGGCUCACCAAGGCGACGAUCCGUAACUGGUCUGAGAGGAUGAUCAGUCACACUGGAACUGAGACACGGUCCAGACUCCUACGGGAGGCAGCAGUGGGGAAUAUUGGACAACGGGCGAAAGCCUGAUCCAGCCAUGCCGCGUGUGUGAUGAAGGUCUUCGGAUUGUAAAGCACUUUAAGUUGGGAGGAAGGGCAGUAAGUUAAUACCUUGCUGUUUUGACGUUACCGACAGAAUAAGCACCGGCUAACUCUGUGCCAGCCGCCGCGGUAA